Molecule: ribosomal RNA, 465 nt
Filed under: Vreelandella stevensii
Lineage: Bacteria; Pseudomonadati; Pseudomonadota; Gammaproteobacteria; Oceanospirillales; Halomonadaceae
Description: partial 16S ribosomal RNA
Rfam family: Bacterial small subunit ribosomal RNA
Source: RNAcentral
CCUACGGGUGGCAGCAGUGGGGAAUAUUGGACAAUGGGGGGAACCCUGAUCCAGCCAUGCCGCGUGUGUGAAGAAGGCCCUCGGGUUGUAAAGCACUUUCAGUGAGGAAGAACGCCUGGUGGUUAAUACCCAUCAGGAAAGACAUCACUCACAGAAGAAGCACCGGCUAACUCCGUGCCAGCAGCCGCGGUAAUACGGAGGGUGCGAGCGUUAAUCGGAAUUACUGGGCGUAAAGCGCGCGUAGGUGGCUUGAUAAGCCGGUUGUGAAAGCCCCGGGCUCAACCUGGGAACGGCAUCCGGAACUGUCAAGCUAGAGUGCAGGAGAGGAAGGUAGAAUUCCCGGUGUAGCGGUGAAAUGCGUAGAGAUCGGGAGGAAUACCAGUGGCGAAGGCGGCCUUCUGGACUGACACUGACACUGAGGUGCGAAAGCGUGGGUAGCAAACAGGAAUAGAUACCCUUGUAGUC